UGGGCUAUAGCCAAGUGGUAAGGCAGCGGAUUUUGAUUCCGUCAUUCGUUGGUUCGAAUCCAGCUAGCCCAGC
Molecule: transfer RNA, 73 nt
Filed under: Thalassobacillus devorans
Lineage: Bacteria; Bacillati; Bacillota; Bacilli; Caryophanales; Bacillaceae
Description: tRNA-Gln
Rfam family: tRNA
About the family: Transfer RNA (tRNA) molecules are approximately 80 nucleotides in length. Their secondary structure includes four short double-helical elements and three loops (D, anti-codon, and T loops). Further hydrogen bonds mediate the characteristic L-shaped molecular structure. tRNAs have two regions of fundamental functional importance: the anti-codon, which is responsible for specific mRNA codon recognition, and the 3' end, to which the tRNAs corresponding amino acid is attached (by aminoacyl-tRNA synthetases). tRNAs cope with the degeneracy of the genetic code in two manners: having more than one tRNA (with a specific anti-codon) for a particular amino acid; and 'wobble' base-pairing, i.e. permitting non-standard base-pairing at the 3rd anti-codon position.
Source: RNAcentral